This 253-nucleotide ribosomal RNA is filed under the name uncultured bacterium. RNAcentral's name for it is "partial 16S ribosomal RNA". It matches the Rfam family "Bacterial small subunit ribosomal RNA", at positions 524 to 776 of the family's 1533-position model. The record is from RNAcentral.
GACAGAGGGUGCAAACGUUGUUCGGAAUUACUGGGCGUAAAGCGCGUGUAGGCGGCUAUGCAAGUCGGAUGUGAAAUCCCCGGGCUCAACUCGGGAAGUGCACUUAAAACUACAAGACUUGAGUAAGGAAGAGGGUCGUGGAAUUCCAGGUGUAGUGGUGAAAUACGUAGAUAUCUGGAGGAACACCGGUGGCGAAGGCGGCGACCUGGUCCUAUACUGACACUCAUACACGAAAGCGUGGGGAUCAAACAGG